Molecule: long non-coding RNA, 476 nt
Filed under: Manacus vitellinus (golden-collared manakin)
Lineage: Eukaryota; Metazoa; Chordata; Aves; Passeriformes; Pipridae
Description: lncRNA (ENSMVIG00005016992.1)
Source: RNAcentral
UACCUGGUUGUUUAUGACAUGUCUUGUGACAGUUCUCAGCAGUGGACCAAGACAGUAGGUGCUGUGUUGUCAGAGAAGAAAUAGAUCCCGGCCCUCAAAGCUUCCUGUAUCCCAAGGCAAUGCAGUCAGGGGUAAGAAGGAAGCCCUGACCAGGCACACCAGUGCCAAUAGCCACAGCCAUGGGUCUGUGGCUGGAACAUUGGUGGUCUGCUGUGCACCUGGUCUGCCUUGGGGUGGUAGAAGAGUUGUCAGACUUCUGUUUAAAACAAGUAGAAGAGACAACCCAAACAAGCCUGCUGACCAAGUUGUUCUGUAAGAAGAUCUGCAAGAAGUGAAUCUGCCAAUCCAUCCUGAGCUCUGCAGGAGGCAUGUUGAUAAGUUUAUCCUGGACAUAAACACAGAUGGAAGGAAAUUGCCAUAAAAAACCCCAAAACAUGACAAGUCAUAAAGGAUGUAACUGCACCUAAAAUGUGUUA